UUUCUAUGCCAAAAUGCAAAUCUGUAAGAACCCUAAUGUAAUGUAUUAAAAGAAAUUGUAUAUAUUUUUUUUUUCUACACAAUAAGCCGAUCCUAUUAAGAACUUGUCGAGCUAUAGGACAGAAGAAAAUUAACUAUUUGGAGCAUAAUCCGUAGAUUUUCGGACCUUAAGGUAGAAAUUGCUCAACGUCCCGCCCGCCCACGAAAGGCAAUGGGUCAUCAUUGCGCCAAAAUAAUACGUAAGAUCAAGAAAAGCCCAAAGAUCUUAUCAUCCCAAAUAGUACCAGAGGUUAAAGAAGAGACUGUUAAAGGAAUUCGCUCCAGAACCCUACAAAGGGUACUACACAAUGCUGGGUACAAUGCGAGAAUUGCAAAACGCAAACCACUCAUUUCGAGUAUUAACUAAUCGAAGAGAUUGACAUCUGCCAAAAAGUUUAACUAACUGCAACGAUGUCCUAUUAUCCGAUGCAAGCCAUAUAUUUUUCGCUCAAAAGACCGAAUUAAAGUAUGAAGAAAACCCAAUACGACGCACAAUAAAAUGAGAUAAUAUUAAAUUGCCAAUACUUUUGUCCUUGACUGUAUAAGCGGCAACCACACACAUCCAAAAGAAAUACAUACCGCAAUAAAUUA
Drosophila virilis is the source of this 629-nucleotide non-coding RNA. Lineage: Eukaryota; Metazoa; Arthropoda; Insecta; Diptera; Drosophilidae. The record is from RefSeq and is a predicted model, not a curated record.